This 480-nucleotide ribosomal RNA is filed under the name uncultured bacterium. RNAcentral's name for it is "partial 16S ribosomal RNA". It matches the Rfam family "Bacterial small subunit ribosomal RNA", at positions 28 to 507 of the family's 1533-position model. The record is from RNAcentral.
GAUGAACGCUAGCGGCAGGCCUAACACAUGCAAGUCGAGGGGGAGGUUACUUUCGGGUAACUGAGACCGGCGUACGGGUGCGUAACGCGUAUACAAUCUGCCUUUCACUGGGGGAUAGCCCGAAGAAAUUUGGAUUAAUACCCCAUAGUAUAGUAAUACGGCAUCGUGAUGCUAUUAAAGCUUAGGUGGUGAAAGAUGAGUAUGCGUUCUAUUAGCUAGUUGGAGAGGUAACGGCUCCCCAAGGCGAUGAUAGAUAGGGGUUCUGAGAGGGAUGUCCCCCACACUGGUACUGAGAUACGGACCAGACUCCUACGGGAGGCAGCAGUGAGGAAUAUUGGACAAUGGUCGGAAGACUGAUCCAGCCAUGCCGCGUGCAGGAGGAAGGUCUUAUGGAUUGUAAACUGCUUUUGUAAGGGAAGAAUAAGGGCUACGCGUAGUUUGAUGACGGUACCUUACGAAUAAGCAUCGGCUAACUCCGUG